RNAcentral lists this ribosomal RNA (440 nucleotides) under uncultured bacterium. RNAcentral's name for it is "partial 16S ribosomal RNA". It matches the Rfam family "Bacterial small subunit ribosomal RNA", at positions 338 to 795 of the family's 1533-position model. The record is from RNAcentral.
CCUACGGGCGGCAGCAGUGGGGAAUAUUGCACAAUGGGGGGAACCCUGAUGCAGCAACGCCGCGUGGGUGAAGAAGUACUUCGGUGCGUAAAGCUCUGUCAGCAGGGAAGAAAAUGACGGUACCUGACCAAGAAGCCCCGGCUAACUACGUGCCAGCAGCCGCGGUAAUACGUAGGGGGCAAGCGUUAUCCGGAGUUACUGGGUGUAAAGGGAGCGUAGAUGGUUAAGUAAGUCAGGAGUGAAAGGCCAGGGCCCAACCCCGGGACUGCUCUGGAAACUAUGGAACUUGAGUGCGGGAGAGGAAAGCGGAAUUCCUAGUGUAGCGGUGAAAUGCGUAGAUAUUAGGAGGAACACCAGUGGCGAAGGCGGCUUGCUGGACUGUAACUGACGUUGAGGCUCGAAAGCGUGGGGAGCAAACAGGAUUAGAUACCCGAGUAGUC